AAACCCACUCCUGCUCCCCGUGGUCGUA
RNAcentral lists this small RNA (28 nucleotides) under Bombyx mori (domestic silkworm). RNAcentral's name for it is "ovarian small RNA-9932". The record is from RNAcentral. Lineage: Eukaryota; Metazoa; Arthropoda; Insecta; Lepidoptera; Bombycidae.